GCUCCAAGAAGCAAAGUUGGCAAGGCCUCUGCUCGGAGAACAAAGUGACAACAUAAGAAAAGGCAAGGCCCAGAUCACGAUUUUCACAGCCCUAAAGAUCCCAGGAAAAUGACUUCUUUUCUGCCUGAAAGCUGAAUGCAAGUCAGGCUUGUAGUACUGCUGUGUCUUGGAGAUCCCAAAGCAGAAGCUCCUUGUGGAACAAUUUUGUUCUUGAGUAAUAUAAAAUUGCAAAAGCUGCUAAUGUGGCAGAAAGAGAAGAAGCUGGAACAAGAAUCUAGUGUCUGGAUACACCCUGAAGAUAAUCCCAUUUCUCAAAGAGUAUGAAGAUCAACACAAAGACAGCGUGACCAGGAGUGCUCAGGGUCCCAACUUUCUCCAAGGCGGCAGAGAGUCCUGCUCAUCCAGUCCUUUGGGGGACUGAUAAAACCAGUCCUGAAGCUGUGCCCUCUGUUUGGUUGAUGUUUUUGGGAAGGAAGAAGUGAUGACUACAGUGAACUGAUGAAACCUGACAGGAGCAGAUAUGGUAUGGACAGGAGAGGCAACCUGGAUGGUGACAUGUAGCAGGGGUGGAGACCUACAGGGCUCAACCCAGCCUUUGAAUGAGAGUAGUGGUGUGUGGUUACUGUUGUUGUCUGGGUUUGGCCAGGAUAACAGAAAGUCUAUUUGGUCUUGAUAGAGUGAAAGACAAAUAUUUGAAAGAUAAUAUUUGACCGAGAAAGACAAAUAGGGUGUGGAUGAUGAGUUACGUAUGAAAGAAGAUAGGAAAUUUCUGGAAGUCAUGCAGGACAGGUGGGUAGGCCAAGGAGAGUGAACAAAAAAGCAGUCAAGAGCUGACAGAAUGGAGAGGAUAAAAAAGUAGAAGGGAAGAGUGCAAGUGGAAGCCCUUAUAGGUAAGGGAAUAUGAAAAUGCAGGAGUUUCCAGUGUUUUUAAUGAC
This is a long non-coding RNA of Hirundo rustica (Barn swallow), 935 nucleotides long. RefSeq lists it as uncharacterized. The transcript is spliced from 3 exons. The record is from RefSeq and is a predicted model, not a curated record. NCBI's taxonomy places the organism in Eukaryota, Metazoa, Chordata, Aves, Passeriformes, Hirundinidae.